CCGGAGUGGCGAACGGGUGAGUAAAGCGUCGGAACGUACCGAGUAAUGGGGGAUAACUGUCCGAAAGGAACAGCUAAUACCGCAUACGCUCUGAGGAGGAAAGCGGGGGACCGUUCGGGCCUCGCGUUAUUCGAGCGGCCGACGUCUGAUUAGCUAGUUGGUGAGGUAAAGGCUCACCAAGGCGACGAUCAGUAGCGGGUCUGAGAGGAUGAUCCGCCACACUGGGACUGAGACACGGCCCAG
RNAcentral lists this ribosomal RNA (243 nucleotides) under uncultured bacterium. RNAcentral describes it as "partial 16S ribosomal RNA". It matches the Rfam family "Bacterial small subunit ribosomal RNA", at positions 90 to 334 of the family's 1533-position model. The record is from RNAcentral.